Molecule: long non-coding RNA, 2168 nt
Filed under: Homo sapiens (human)
Lineage: Eukaryota; Metazoa; Chordata; Mammalia; Primates; Hominidae
Description: HSALNT0404345
Source: RNAcentral
AGUUUCCGGAGCGGAUCGCAACCCGGAGUCCGGAUCCGAUCCCGCUCUGCACAUUCCAAAGGCAGGUAAAGCUCCGGGCCCUGCGCCCGCCGCCCGCCCCGGCGUGCGCCCCGCCGGCCCCGGGCCGCACCCGCUGCCCCCGCGAGCCCCGGCGCGCCCUGGGCCCGCUGCCCCCCGCCCCCCGCGCCCGGCAGCCGCGCGCCGCCCCGGUCCAGCCGCCAUGCCGACUGUUCUUUGUUACAUUCGCCGGCUGCGGGCACCGUUGGCGAUCGGAGUCAAAACCCGGCUGGAUUUCCCGGAGCCGCUCCGGGAUCGCCCUGCGCGCCGCCCGCCCGCCGGGUCCCGCCGCCGCGGGCGCUCCUGGCCGGGCUCCGCGCCCCCGUCCCCUGCCUCGCGCCCCCCGCCCGCCCGCGGCCAGGCCCAGCGCGGGGCCGCGGGGCUGCCGGGCCGCGCUCGCCCGUGGGCGCGGCGCAGGGUCUUCGCCGCCCCGGCCCGCGGCCCCGCGGCCCCCGCCGCCGGGCGGCGUCGUCGCCGAGGCCCCAGGGGAUGUCGUUAUCCCCCGCCCUCGGGUACAGCCCAUGCGGGUCGCACGGGGGGGUCCCUGGACCCCCAACCCCGCGUUUAGAGAAGCUGAGUCCUGGUGAUGGGGUCUCCCAGACCCCCUGCGCCUUAUUUUCGUAAGCCUUUUGGUGGCAGAGAGAAGGUAGCGAGGUGGAUGGACAGGUGACGCGUGCCUACCCGGGGUGGGUGGCCGUUCGGGGACGGGGCGUGCCCGGCCGCUCAGGUGAGGCCCGCCUCGCGUGGACAGGUGGGGACGGGGGCCACGCGCAGCGUCCUGCUAGAGGGGAGGUGUUCACGCAGGGGUUAGCCUUGAGAAAAUAGAAAUGAAAACUCAUGGAAAUAAACACUCCUAUCUGGUGGUUAGAGUUAUCACCCAUUUACCUUUCUUAACCCCCUAAUGUAGUGGAUGGUUUUUUCCCCCACAAAUGCUCAGAAAUUGCCCCUCACCCCCAAGUCCCCAAAGGGAGUUUAAAACGGUAGAAACAAGUGUGUGAUCAGAGACACGUGGACCUGUGUGUGUAUUUAAAGCUACCAACACUCGUUUUAAAAAAACCACAUUGGCUUAAGCCAGACUCAAGUGAAUUUGGAGAACCUAGCUUGGUUCCUGAAGGGUGGUGACAUGUGAAGGAGCCACUGGCUUUGUGAUGUACCUUAAAAGGUAGCAGUGACAGUUCUCCUUGGAGAAUGCAAUGAUGUCAACACUCGAUAAGGGUGGUGAUCCCACCCCGGUGCACACACCACUACCGUAUUUUGUUUCAAGCUCGGACAUUUUCACGUGUUCCACGUUUUCACUGCUUCACUCCUUCCCCAGAUUUCCUGACAUCGCUGCCUCACGGUGAACGAUUAAGAAAUAGUAGCUCUAUAAUUUAGACUUUCAAGAGCAAAAACACCAUUUUUUUUAUAGUUUGUUUUUCUUCUAUCUGUGAUUCAUACUUUUUGCCGCAAAGUAGCCAGCAAAGAACAAGCUAAAUGUUCCAUUUUGGAAGCAGGCGGGACGGUUAUUUCUCCAGAAGACAAAUAAAUAAAUUUAAAAAUCAACUGUAGUUGGAAGGCUGCUAGCUUGUCUUAGAAUAAUUAUAUUUGACAAAGAACUCUUUUCACUUAGGAUGUGGCUCUCAUAUCAUUUUCGAUGUCAUUAUCUGUACAGAAGGCCAGGAAAGAACAGUCCUGCCAUUUUGCAGAUUGAAGGGAGAUUUAAGGCAACUGUGUCUUCCACCCGUGCGCUCAAGAGGUUGGGAUGUGAAUGGAGAGAGGGCUGCACCUGGUGGACCUAAUGUUCUGGGCAGGGGAGUGGAGGUGGUGUAGACAGAAAAUCAUAAAACUCUCAGGAGAAGCCAAGAUCAGCGAUCCUCCCGUCUUGGCCCCCCAAAGUGCUGGGAUGACAGGUGUCAGCCUGUCCUGGAGUCCUCCAAGCCCGUGGGGUCUGAUGAGCACAGACGGCUCAGCUCUUCCUUGCUUCCAUACCCUUACAUAAAACUGGAGCUCGGCUUUCUCAGAGAGGAUGCUUUUAUUUGCCUGAGAUGCACCAUCUGUUACUGGCUCCGUUUGACCGAUCUCCUUGUUCAUCGUGGUCCAGGUCUGCACCUGACAGCUCUGAGUGCUGACCU